AGAGUUCUUUCUUCUUCAUGGCCAAUACUCUCAUCUCCUAGCUGCUUGGAAUGUCAGCUGCUGUCUUACAGAUGUAUCCCUCACUAAGAAUACCCUUGGACUAUAAGAAACUGCCUCUCCUAAAGGACAUCCCUACUCCAGAACUCCCUAUAGGACAACUGAGGAUUGGAAUGAAACCUGACUGAGAUCCAUUCCACUUCAUGCAUACCAUUCCACCUUCCUCACUUCCCCAGAGGCAUUUCUCCAGUAAACUUCUGCAGGCAACUCUCCACCUCAGAAUUUGCAUCUAGGGAACCCAGCUUAAACAGUGUUCUACCUGAGGAGGCGCUGUCCCCCAACGUAUUUAAUGUAAUUACAAGCAACAGAAACCAGGAUGAGCUGGCUCAAGGGGGAAAAUCUUAUUGGAAACAUAUGAAUCUAUCACAUAGAAUCCAAAGAAUUGACCAACCAACCAUGAAGGGCAGAAGCCAAGGAAGCUCUGGAGACCCUGGCAACAACUGCUUUGGAAACUUUCCUUUCCUUUAUUAUGCCGUUAACAUGACCAGUCCAAACUCUCCGUUCUCUGUGUAUCACAAUUUAAAUUCAAAAUCUUCUGGAGGGGGCACAAUCUGAUUGGUUCCCAUGCUCUAUAUCCUUCAGUGCCCAAUACAGAAGCCAUCAGCUACAUGUAGCCAUGGAGCACUUGAAGUGUGACUACCACAAUUGACAAACUGAAUUUUUUUAUCUAAUUUUAUUAACUAACUUAAAGAUUAAAGCAAAGUGAAAUAUUUUUCUGUUGCACACAACUUUCUUAUUUUGGUGUAAACUGAACACAUUUUACCUUAACUAUUAAAAUUUAUCAUUUAAAUUGAGAUGUGUUGCCACUGUAAAAUAUACCAGAUUUU
Molecule: long non-coding RNA, 884 nt
Organism: Ictidomys tridecemlineatus (thirteen-lined ground squirrel)
Lineage: Eukaryota; Metazoa; Chordata; Mammalia; Rodentia; Sciuridae
Source: RefSeq, a predicted model, not a curated record